Molecule: ribosomal RNA, 253 nt
Filed under: uncultured bacterium
Lineage: Bacteria
Description: partial 16S ribosomal RNA
Rfam family: Bacterial small subunit ribosomal RNA
Source: RNAcentral
UACGUAGGGUGCAAGCGUUCAUCGGAAUUACUGGGCGUAAAGCGUGCGCAGGCGGUGAUGUAAGACAGAUGUGAAAUCCCCGGGCUCAACCUGGGAACUGCAUUUGUGACUGCAUCGCUAGAGUACGGCAGAGGGGGAUGGAAUUCCGCGUGUAGCAGUGAAAUGCGUAGAUAUGCGGAGGAACACCGAUGGCGAAGGCAAUCCCCUGGGCCUGUACUGACGCUCAUGCACGAAAGCGUGGGGAGCAAACAGG